GCAGUGGUGGUCCAGUGGUAGAAUCCUUGGCUUCCAUGUGGGAGACCCAGGUUCGAUUCCUGGUCAAUGCA
Molecule: transfer RNA, 71 nt
Filed under: Loxodonta africana (African savanna elephant)
Lineage: Eukaryota; Metazoa; Chordata; Mammalia; Proboscidea; Elephantidae
Rfam family: tRNA
About the family: Transfer RNA (tRNA) molecules are approximately 80 nucleotides in length. Their secondary structure includes four short double-helical elements and three loops (D, anti-codon, and T loops). Further hydrogen bonds mediate the characteristic L-shaped molecular structure. tRNAs have two regions of fundamental functional importance: the anti-codon, which is responsible for specific mRNA codon recognition, and the 3' end, to which the tRNAs corresponding amino acid is attached (by aminoacyl-tRNA synthetases). tRNAs cope with the degeneracy of the genetic code in two manners: having more than one tRNA (with a specific anti-codon) for a particular amino acid; and 'wobble' base-pairing, i.e. permitting non-standard base-pairing at the 3rd anti-codon position.
Source: Rfam by way of RNAcentral